CCCUAGUAACGGCGAGUGAAGCGGGAACAGCUCAAAUUUGAAAUCUGGCCCUUGGGUCCGAGUUGUAAUUUGCAGAGGAUGCUUUUGGUGCGGUGCCUUCCGAGUUCCCUGGAACGGGACGCCUUAGAGGGUGAGAGCCCCGUACGGUUGGCCACCAAGCCUGUGUAAAGCUCCUUCGACGAGUCGAGUAGUUUGGGAAUGCUGCUCAAAAUGGGAGGUAUAUUUCUUCUAAAGCUAAAUACUGGCCAGAGACCGAUAGCGCACAAGUAGAGUGAUCGAAAGAUGAAAAGCACUUUGAAAAGAGGGUUAAAUAGCACGUGAAAUUGUUGAAAGGGAAGGAUUUAUGACCAGACUUUUUCUGGGGGGAUCAUCCGGUGUUCUCACCGGUGCACUUCCCCCAGUGGAGGCCAGCAUCGGUUUCUGCCGGGGGAUAAAAGCUUCGGGAAUGUGGCUCCUUCGGGAGUGUUAUAGCCCGUUGCAUAAUACCCUGGCGGGGACCGAGGUUCGCGCAUUGCAAGGAUGCUGGCGUAAUGGUUAUUAAUCACCCGUCUUGAAACACGGACCAAGGAGUCGAAACAUUUGUGCGAGUGUUUGGGUGUUAAACCCUCACGCGUAAUGAAAGUGAACGGAGGUGAGAGCCCCUCGGGGUGCAUCAUCGACCGAUCCUGAUGUCUUCGGAUGGAUUUGAGUAAGAGCAUAACUGUUCGGACCCGAAAGAUGGUGAACUAUGCGUGGAUAGGGUGAAGCCAGAGGAAACUCUGGUGGAGGCUCGCAGCGGUUCUGACGUGCAAAUCGAUCGUCAAAUCUGCGCA
RNAcentral lists this ribosomal RNA (812 nucleotides) under Apiospora vietnamensis. RNAcentral describes it as "eukaryotic LSU rRNA". It matches the Rfam family "Eukaryotic large subunit ribosomal RNA", at positions 78 to 917 of the family's 3401-position model. Lineage: Eukaryota; Fungi; Ascomycota; Sordariomycetes; Amphisphaeriales; Apiosporaceae. The record is from RNAcentral.